GCUAAACGCGAAGAACCUUACCAAGGCUUGACAUGCAUCUCUAAGCGCGUGAAAGCGCGUGACCCUUCGGGGAUUUGCACAGGUGCUGCAUGGCCGUCGUCAGCUCGUGUCGUGAGAUGUUGGGUUAAGUCCCGCAACGAGCGCAACCCUUGUGAUUAGUUGCCAGCACGUCAAGGUGGGAACUCUAGUCAGACUGCCCAGAUCAACUGGGAGGAAGGUGGGGACGACGUCAGGUCAGUAUGGCCCUUACGCCUUGGGCUGCACACGUACUACAAUGCCCAGCACAAUGAGAACCGAGACCGCGAGGUGGAGGAAAUCUGCAAAACUGGGCUCAGUUCGGAUUGGAGGCUGCAACUCGCCUCCAUGAAGUUGGAAUCGCUAGUAAUGGGGCAUCAUCUACGGCCCCGUGAAUACGUUCCCGGGUCUUGUACACACCG
This 437-nucleotide ribosomal RNA is filed under the name uncultured bacterium. RNAcentral describes it as "bacterial SSU rRNA". It matches the Rfam family "Bacterial small subunit ribosomal RNA", at positions 954 to 1392 of the family's 1533-position model. The record is from RNAcentral.